CGGGUGAGUAACACGUGGAUAAUCUGCCUUUUAGUGGGGAAUACCGUUGGGAAACCGACGACAAUACCGCAUAAGCUCGAGAGAGGAAAGCUGUUCUGUAAAAGGAGCAGCGCUGAAAGAGGAGUCCGCGGCCGAUUAGCUUGUUGGUAGGGUAAUGGCCUACCAAGGCUGUGAUCGGUAGCCGGCCUGAGAGGGCACACGGCCACACUGGCACUGAAACACGGGCCAG
RNAcentral lists this ribosomal RNA (229 nucleotides) under uncultured bacterium. Its description in RNAcentral is "partial 16S ribosomal RNA". It matches the Rfam family "Bacterial small subunit ribosomal RNA", at positions 103 to 334 of the family's 1533-position model. The record is from RNAcentral.